UAUCUUUCUUUUUAUAGAUUUUGAAUUUGUCUUCCAUCUUAUAUCUCAUCCAUGUGAUUCAUCACAUAGGAAUAUUUGUUGAGGUGUGUUUCAACAUUCAACCAAAUGCAUAUUUGAAUUGGGUCCCCCACUUCACUAAUAAGAAUUAACAUGUCACUUCAUGUGAUUGUUGUUUUGCAUAAACGUAAUCUCAGUUUAAGAUGAAUCUUUUCUUGAGUCACCUUCCAAAUCAUUGUUAGCACUUAGCAACCUUUGUACUUGCAUCAAAUAAAACUCAUAUGACAUGAAAAUUCUGCUAGUUCCCCAAAACAACGGAACAUAACAAUUAGGUCCAAAUUGUUCCAGCAUUCAUGCAGGUUGAACUGGACAAGAUAUUGUCUCAUUUUUGUUUAAGAUGCCCUUUUGUAGGGAUUGUAGUUUCUUCAAAUUUAGUUAUCUGGUGAUCUCGUGCAUUAUUUGUGAAAUUCAUUUAUGUUUGGAGCUCUUGAACUUGUCCCUGUAUUGAGGUCUGCUCUUCAAACUAACAAACUUUUUGGGAGAGGUGCAACUAUGCAAUGGAAGACCCUAACAGCCUCACUAUUCUUCAAGCUACUAUCAAACCAUUCCAGUUUUAUGUUCUAUGAUGUGACUCAUUGUUUCUAAUGGCCAAUCUCAAUACGGAUUGUGACAUACAUGACCAGAUUGAUUUCAAGUUAAUUAAAUCUUGGUAAUGCAAAUUCCAGAAUAUUGUCUUAUAGCAUGUUAAUCAUAUUUCUAUCUCGAACUCUAAUUUACAUGGGGAACAUAAUGUCUUUAGAUUUAGGAAAUGGGAUGAAGGGGCUGUGUUCAAGUGUAAAGAGGAGGGUAGGUAGUUAUAGUUGAGUUGACUGCUUGGUUGCUUGAGAACUUUCAAGCCUGGUUAGGGAGUGAGGUACUGCUUGCUCUGAUCACCAUGAUUUGACAUUCAUUCGGGGAAGUCUGAAAUAGGUGGACGGAUGAUUUGUGGGAAUGGAAAGAUGCUUUUUUCUUUUUGGUGGUGGAAGUUGGUGGAAACGGAAGGGACAAUAAGGUUGCAAGGGUAGUGAACCAAAAGGCUAGGUUGUGGAUGGUAAGGUUGGGGAAUGCUGCAGGUUGAGUGGAAGGAAAGGCUACGUUGUGGUUGGGGAGAUUUUGACAAUUUUUAUUAUUUAUAUUUCUUUUUAUAGCUUUUGAAUUUGUCUUCCAUCUUAUGUCUCAUCCGUGUGAUUCAUCACAUAGGAAUAUUUGUUGAGGCCUGUUUCAACAUUCAAACACAUGCAUAUGGGAAUUGGGUCCCUCACUUAACUAAUAAGAUUGAACAUGUCACUUCAUGUGAAUUGUUGUUUUACGUAAACUUAAUCUCAGUUUAAGAUGAAUCUUCUCUUGAGUCACCUUCCAAAUCAUUGUUAGCACUUACAGCCUUUGUACUUGCAUCAAAUAUUACUCACAUGACAUGACAAUUUUGCUAGCUCCCAAAACAAAGGAGCACAGUAAUUAGGUCCGAAUUGUUUCAGCAUUCAUGCAGGUUGAACUGGACAAUAUAUCGUGUCUCAUUUUUGUCUAAGAUGCCCUUUUGUAGGGAUUGCAGUUUCUUCAAAUUUAGUUAUCUCGUGCAUUAUUUGUAAAAUUCAUUUAUGUUUGGAGCUCAAUUUUACCAAACUUGUACCUUAAUUGAGGUUUGCUCUUCAAACUAGCAAACGUUUUGGGAGAGGUUCAACUAUGCAGUGGAAGACCCUAAACAGCCUCACUAUUCUUCAAUCUACUAUCAAACCAUUCCAGUUUUAUGUUUUAUGAUGUGACUCAAUGUUUCUAAUGGGCAAUCUCAAUACAGAUUGUGACAUACAUGACCAGAUUGAUUUCAAGUUAAUUAAACCCUGGUAGUGCAAAUUCCAUAAUAUUGUCUUAUAGCAUGUUAAUCAUAUUUCUAUCUCGAACUCUAAUUAACGUGGGGAACAUAAUGUCUUCUGGUUUAGUGAAUGGGAUGAAAGGGAUGUGGUCUAGUGUAAAGAGGGUAGGUAGUGAUAGUUGAGUUGACCCAUGGUUGCUUGAGAAUUUUCGAGCCUGGUCAUGGAGUGAGGUACCUUCUUGGAUCACCAUGAUUUGACAUUCAUUCUGGGAGGUCUGAAAUAGGUGGACGGAUGAUAUGUGGGAAUGGAAAGAUGCAUUUUUCUUUUUGGUGGUGGAAGUUGUUGGAGGAAGGGACAGUGAGGCUUCAAGGGUAGUGAACCAAAUGGCUAGGUUGUGGAUGGUAAGGUUGGGGAAUGCUGCAGGUUAGGUGGGAGGAAAGGCUAGGUUGUGGUUGGGGAGAUUUUACAAUUUUUAUUAUUUAUAUUUCUUUUUAUAGCUUUUGAAUUUGUCUUCCAUCUCAUGUCACACCGGUGUGAUUCAUCACAUAGGAAUAUCUGUUGAGGCAUGUUUCAACAUUCAACCAAAUGCAUAUGGGAAUGGGGUCCCUCACUUCACUAAUAAAAAUUAACAUGUCACUUCAUGUGAAUUGUUGUUUUAUGUAAACUUAAUCUCAGUUUAAGAUGAAUCUUCUCUUGAAUCACCUUCUAAAUCAUUGUUAGCACUUAGCAGCCUUUGUAUUUGCAUCAAAUAAAACUCACAUGACAUGAAAAUUCUGCUAGCUCCCCAAAACAAAGGAACAUAGUAAUUAGGUCCAAAUUGUUCCAGCAUUCAUGCAGGUUGAACUGGACAAGAUAUCGUCUCUUCGAACUUGUACCUGAAUUGAGGUCCGCUCUUCAAACUAGCAAACGUUUUGGGAGAGGUGCAACUAUGCAGUGGAAGACCUUAAACAGCCUCACUAUUCUUCAAGCUACUAUCAAAUCAUUCCAGUUUUAUGUUCUAUGAUGUGACUAAAUGUUUCUAAUGGGCAAUCUCAAUAUGGUUUGUGACAUACAUGCCUAGAUUGAUUGCAAGUUAAUUAAACCUUGGUAAUGCAAAUUCCAGAAUAUUGUCUUAUAGCAUGUUAAUCAUAUUUCUAUCUCGAACUCUAAUUUAUGAGGGGAACACAAUAUCUUUUGAUUUAGGAAAUUGGACGAAGGGGUUGUGGUCAAGAGGAAAGAGGAGGGUAGGUAGUGAUAGUGGAGUUGACUGCAUGGUUG
RNAcentral lists this long non-coding RNA (3101 nucleotides) under Amborella trichopoda. Its description in RNAcentral is "long non-coding RNA (ATRI_LNC002491)". The record is from RNAcentral. Lineage: Eukaryota; Viridiplantae; Streptophyta; Magnoliopsida; Amborellales; Amborellaceae.